This 400-nucleotide ribosomal RNA is filed under the name phytoplankton environmental sample. RNAcentral describes it as "partial small subunit ribosomal RNA". It matches the Rfam family "Eukaryotic small subunit ribosomal RNA", at positions 587 to 991 of the family's 1831-position model. The record is from RNAcentral.
AGCUCCAUUAGCGUAUAUUAACUUUGUUGCAGUUAAAAAGCUCGUAGUUGGAUUUGUGGCAUGCUACGGGUUCCGGGCACUUGUUGUCUGUGUAACUUGUGGCUGCCAUCCUUGGGUGGAACCUGUGUGGCAUUAGGUUGUCGUGCAGGGGAUGCCCAUCGUUUACUGUGAAAAAAUUAGAGUGUUCAAAGCAGGCUUAUGCCGUUGAAUAUAUUAGCAUGGAAUAAUGAGAUAGGACUUUUUCGCUAUUUUGUUGGUUUGCGCGGAGAGGUAAUGAUUAAUAGGGACAGUUGGGGGUAUUCGUAUUCAAUUGUCAGAGGUGAAAUUCUUGGAUUUCUUGAAGACGAACUACUGCGAAAGCAUUUACCAAGGAUGUUUUCAUUAAUCAAGAACGAAAGUA